GCCUACGGGGCGCAGCAGUGGGGAAUAUUGGGCAAUGGGCGAAAGCCUGAUGGAGCAACGCCGCGUGGGUGAAGAAGGUCUUCGGAUCGUAAAACCCUGUUGUUAGAGAAGAAAGUGCGUGAGAGUAACUGUUCACGUUUCGACGGUAUCUAACCAGAAAGCCACGGCUAACUACGUGCCAGCAGCCGCGGUAAUACGUAGGUGGCAAGCGUUAUCCGGAUUUAUUGGGCGUAAAGGGAACGCAGGCGGUCUUUUAAGUCUGAUGUGAAAGCCUUCGGCUUAACCGGAGUAGUGCAUUGGAAACU
RNAcentral lists this ribosomal RNA (305 nucleotides) under uncultured bacterium. RNAcentral's name for it is "bacterial SSU rRNA". It matches the Rfam family "Bacterial small subunit ribosomal RNA", at positions 337 to 634 of the family's 1533-position model. The record is from RNAcentral.